GGAGGAGAGCCCCAGCUCGGCGCGGCCCCGGCCCGAGCAGCACCGGCGGCUGCUCCUCAACUCAUUGGCCUUGCACCGCCCGCCCCGCCGGCUCCCCUCGGGCGCGGAGCGCGGCCCCCGUGCGCAGCUGCCUGACGCUGCAAAAUGGCGGCCGGCCGCCCCGCCGCGCCUGCGCGCCCCGCAGCGGGGGAGGCGGCCGCGGGGCCCCCCGCUGGAUGCCCCCCUGCUCCUGUCCUCGCCGUGCUUGGGGCUUGGGGCGGGGCGUUUGGCCGUGCGGAGAUAAGGCAGAAAAACCUCCUUUGUCUGCUCGCCGCGCCUCCCUCCCCUGCCUCUCAGGCCCUAAUAACCCACUUCCAGUGGCCGCUCUCUGGAGAACCAGUUUAAACCGAUACUCGUGAGCCACGCUGCCCGAGAGCUUGGGAGGCCUUGCUGACGUUGAUGGACAUGAUAGCUGCCUUCCUUUCAGGCUAAAGGAGGCAACAGGGAAGCAAACGACUUCUUGAAAGAGAGUAACCUGGAAGGCAAUCUAACUUGUAGACUACUAGAUAGAAAAAAGAUAUAUAUGUACAUAUCUAAAGGCUCAGGUGGUUUCCUGAGAAGAUAGCAAAUGAGAGGAGGUAUUAGAGACAUACAGCGUAUGCUUUCGUACUUACUGGUGAGCAUCAAUUUAUGGCCACUUUUUGUGGAUUGUGGUUGUUGUAGGCUUUGUUUUGGUUAUCUGUUGUGCGGUCUGUAGUUAAGUUUAUUUGUCGAAAGGAUAUCUUUACUGUGUUUAUUUCUCGCUGGUUUCGUUCUGACAAGUUUCUAAUGAUGUCAGUCACCUGGAUCAAUGGUAACUGAUGUAUGCAACUAUGUAGUGUUUUCCACAUGCUGUACUGGGUUCACUGUUCUUUUUGGUAUAUGAUGUAGUACUGCUGUUACUCAGGAUCUGAUUUUUUUUUUUCAAAACAUUAGUACUGUUGACAAGGUCAGCCCUUCUGCAUCAUUUUCAGAAGCACGUAGUUAGCACUUGUUAAUGCUAGCCUUGACUUUAUGACCUCUGGUUUCCUGUCUUACCAAAAGGUAUGUUACACCUUCUGUUGCGUUCAGUGAUAAAACAGAUACAUCUCUGAGAUGGUCAGGCAAAUACUGGACUGGGUGAACCUUUGGUCUGAAGCAUUAAGGUCUUUCUGAGUAGCUAAAUGUCUCUGCUUCCUGCUAGUCCAAGAACCAGAAAGAAUGCUGUCUGCA
RNAcentral lists this long non-coding RNA (1230 nucleotides) under Anser brachyrhynchus (Pink-footed goose). RNAcentral's name for it is "lncRNA (ENSABRG00000003730.1)". The record is from RNAcentral. Lineage: Eukaryota; Metazoa; Chordata; Aves; Anseriformes; Anatidae.